CCUACGGGAGACAGCAGUGAGGAAUAUUGGUCAAUGGCCGCAGGGCUGAACCAGCCAAGUCGCGUGAGGGAUGACGGUCCUAUGGAUUGUAAACCUCUUUUGUCAGGGAGCAAAGGGCGCCACGUGUGGCGCUUUGCGAGUACCUGAAGAAAAAGCAUCGGCUAACUCCGUGCCAGCAGCCGCGGUAAUCCGGAGGAUGCGAGCGUUAUCCGGAUUUAUUGGGUGUAAGGGGUGCGCAGGCGGAAUGUCAAGUCAGCGGUAAAAUUUCGGGGCUCAACCCCGUCGUGCCGUUGAAACUGGCGUUCUUGAGUGAGCGAGAAGUAGGCGGAAUGCGUGGUGUAGCGGUGAAAUGCAUAGAUAUCACGCAGAACUCCGAUUGCGAAGGCAGCAUACCGGCGCUCAACUGACGCUCAUGCACGAAAGCGUGGGUAUCGAACAGGAUUAGAUACCCCAGUAGUC
Molecule: ribosomal RNA, 459 nt
Filed under: uncultured bacterium
Lineage: Bacteria
Description: partial 16S ribosomal RNA
Rfam family: Bacterial small subunit ribosomal RNA
Source: RNAcentral